This 72-nucleotide transfer RNA is filed under the name Camelus bactrianus (Bactrian camel). It matches the Rfam family "tRNA". Rfam says of the family: Transfer RNA (tRNA) molecules are approximately 80 nucleotides in length. Lineage: Eukaryota; Metazoa; Chordata; Mammalia; Artiodactyla; Camelidae. RNAcentral also lists the same sequence under 3 other names. The record is from Rfam by way of RNAcentral.
GAGGAUAUAGCUCGGUGUCAGAGUGAGUGCUUAGCAUGCACAAUGUCCUGGGUUCAAUCCCCGGUACCUCCU